Molecule: ribosomal RNA, 460 nt
Filed under: uncultured bacterium
Lineage: Bacteria
Description: partial 16S ribosomal RNA
Rfam family: Bacterial small subunit ribosomal RNA
Source: RNAcentral
CCUACGGGAUGCAGCAGUGAGGAAUAUUGGUCAAUGGGCGUAAGCCUGAACCAGCCAAGUCGCGUGAGGGAUGAAGGUUCUAUGUAUCGUAAACCUCUUUUAUCAGGGAAUAAAGUGUGGGACGUGUCCUAUUUUGUAUGUACCUUAUGAAUAAGGAUCGGCUAACUCCGUGCCAGCAGCCGCGGUAAUACGUAGGUUGCAAGCGUUAUCCGGAAUGACUGGGCUUAAAGGGUGCGUAGGUGGUUUAGUAAGUUGGCGGGGUAAUUCCGGGGCUCAACCUCGGCGCUACCGCCAAAACUAGUAGACGCGAGUGCAGGAGGGGUAAGUGGAAUGCCUGGUGUAGCGGUGGAAUGAGUAGAUAUUAGGAGGAACAGCAGGGGCGAAGGCGACUUACUGGACUGUAACUGACACUGAGGCACGAAAGCGUGGGGAGCAAACAGGAUUAGAUACCCGGGUAGUC